GGUAUGUAGGUGGGGUUGUGAUAUAUUGUGCCCAGUGGGCCACUUUUGGUAAGCAGAACUGGCGCUGUGGGAUGAACCAAACGCAAUGUUACGGUGCCAAAAUUUACAACUCAUGCAGAUACCAUGAAAGGCGUUGCUUGCUUAAAACAGCAGGACGGUGGACAUGGAAGUCGUAAUCCGCUAAGGAGUGUGUAACAACUCACCUGCCGAAGCAACUAGCCCUUAAAAUGGAUGGCGCUUAAGUUGUAUACCUAUACAUUGCCGCUAAUGUAGAUGGUUUAUGCAUAAUUUCGGUUAUGUUAUAGAUUUUGAAACAUUAGUGAGUAGGAGGGUACAAUGGUGUGCCUAGAAGUGUUUGG
This 359-nucleotide ribosomal RNA is filed under the name Apocephalus paldiae. Its description in RNAcentral is "partial 28S ribosomal RNA". It matches the Rfam family "Eukaryotic large subunit ribosomal RNA", at positions 1092 to 1415 of the family's 3401-position model. Lineage: Eukaryota; Metazoa; Arthropoda; Insecta; Diptera; Phoridae. The record is from RNAcentral.